This 492-nucleotide ribosomal RNA is filed under the name uncultured bacterium. Its description in RNAcentral is "partial 16S ribosomal RNA". It matches the Rfam family "Bacterial small subunit ribosomal RNA", at positions 30 to 507 of the family's 1533-position model. The record is from RNAcentral.
AGUGAACGCUGGCGGUAGGCCUAACACAUGCAAGUCGAACGGCAGCACAGUAAGAGCUUGCUCUUACGGGUGGCGAGCGGCGGACGGGUGAGGAAUACAUCGGAAUCUACUUUUUCGUGGGGGAUAACGUAGGGAAACUUACGCUAAUACCGCAUACGACCUACGGGUGAAAGCAGGGGAUCUUCGGACCUUGCGCGAUUGAAUGAGCCGAUGUCGGAUUAGCUAGUUGGCGGGGUAAAGGCCCACCAAGGCGACGAUCCGUAGCUGGUCUGAGAGGAUGGGGAGCCACCAGGGAACGGUGACGCGCACAGGACGCCUGCGGGACGCAGCAGUGGGGAAUGUGGGACAAGGGGCGCGAGUCUGAUCCAGCCUUGCGGAGUGGGAGAAAAGAACCUUGUGGUUGCAAAGCCCUUUUGUGGGUAAAGAAAAGCAACGGGUUGGGACCCCGCGGUUCUGACGGUGCCGAAAAAAUAAGCACCGGCUAACUUCGUG